This 23-nucleotide unclassified non-coding RNA is filed under the name Mus musculus (house mouse). RNAcentral describes it as "oocyte_clustered_small_RNA1722". Lineage: Eukaryota; Metazoa; Chordata; Mammalia; Rodentia; Muridae. The record is from RNAcentral.
UGUCAGGAUCUUUGUUGCUUUGU